GCGUUGUCCGGAAUCACUGGGCGUAAAGGGCGCGUAGGCGGUUGCUUAAGCGUGCGGUGAAAGCCCGGGGCUCAACCCCGGGUCGGCCGUGCGGACUGAGUGGCUGGAGCACUGUAGAGGCAGGCGGAAUUCCGGGUGUAGCGGUGGAAUGCGUAGAGAUCCGGAAGAACACCGGUGGCGAAGGCGGCCUGCUGGGCAGUGGCUGACGCUGAGGCGCGACAGCGUG
Molecule: ribosomal RNA, 226 nt
Filed under: uncultured bacterium
Lineage: Bacteria
Description: partial 16S ribosomal RNA
Rfam family: Bacterial small subunit ribosomal RNA
Source: RNAcentral